Non-coding RNA from Vicia faba (fava bean), 288 nucleotides. NCBI's taxonomy places the organism in Eukaryota, Viridiplantae, Streptophyta, Magnoliopsida, Fabales, Fabaceae. The record is from the annotation of a GenBank genome assembly.
AUGAAGAAAUUUUUUCCUGUGCUUUCUAGAGACAAAGCUACUUCUUCGGUAAAUCUAGAAGCAUCGGAAACUCAACAUCCAAGUGAGAGUAUUAAAGUUGUCGAUUAUGAAUUGUUGGAAACCGAUCCAGGAAUUAGGCCUCCAAUUUCAAGCUAUCAUCCUGACAUCCAAAAUGAGGUAAGGAAAGCUUAUUUAAAAAUAGGUCGUCAUAAACCUCCUUACAAUUUUGUUUACCCUUGGUCUGUUCAAGGUAAUCAAAGACGUAGAUUUUGCAAAAAAUUGGUUUGA